AACGAACGCUGGCGGCAGGCCUAACACAUGCAAGUCGAGCGAGGACUUCGGUUCUAGCGGCGGACGGGUGAGUAACGCGUGGGAAUGUGCCCUUCUCUACGGAAUAGCCCUGGGAAACUGGGAGUAAUACCGUAUACGCCCUAUUGGGGAAAGAUUUAUCGGAGAAGGAUCAGCCCGCGUUGGAUUAGGUAGUUGGUGGGGUAAUGGCCUACCAAGCCGACGAUCCAUAGCUGGUUUGAGAGGAUGAUCAGCCACACUGGGACUGAGACACGGCCCAGACCCCUACGGGAGGGGGGAGUGGGGAAACUUAGAAAAGGGGGGGAACCCUGAUCCACCCAGGCCGGGGGAGUGAUGAAGGCCUUAGGGUUGUAAAGCCCUUUCCGCUGGGAAGAUAAUGACGGUACCAGCAAAAAAAGCCCCGGCUAACUCCGU
This 432-nucleotide ribosomal RNA is filed under the name uncultured bacterium. RNAcentral describes it as "partial 16S ribosomal RNA". It matches the Rfam family "Bacterial small subunit ribosomal RNA", at positions 29 to 506 of the family's 1533-position model. The record is from RNAcentral.